GGUACGGGCGGACUAGAGUGCAGUAGGGGAGUCUGGAAUUCCUGGUGUAGCGGUGAAAUGCGCAGAUAUCAGGAGGAACACCGGUGGCGAAGGCGGGACUCUGGGCUGUUACUGACGCUGAGGAGCGAAAGCAUGGGGAGCGAACAGGAUUAGAUACCCUGGUAGUCCAUGCCGUAAACGUUGGGCACUAGGUGUGGGGUCCAUUCCACGGGUUCCGCGCCGUAGCUAACGCAUUAAGUGCCCCGCCUGGGGAGUACGGCCGCAAGGCUAAAACUCAAAGGAAUUGACGGGGGCCCGCACAAGCGGCGGAGCAUGCGGAUUAAUUCGAUGCAACGCGAAGAACCUUACCAAGGCUUGACAUGCACCGGAAUGGGCCAGAGAUGGUUCAGCCCUUUGGGCUGGUGCACAGGUGGUGCAUGGUUGUCGUCAGCUCGUGUCGUGAGAUGUUGGGUUAAGUCCCGCAACGAGCGCAACCCUCGUUCUAUGUUGCCAGCACGUGAUGGUGGGAACUCAUAGGAGACUGCCGGGGUCAACUCGGAGGAAGGUGGGGAUGACGUCAAAUCAUCAUGCCCUUUAUGUCUUGGGCUUCACGCAUGCUACAAUGGUCGGUACAAAGGGUGGCGAGACCGUGAGGUGGAGCGAAUCCCAGAAAGCCGAUCUCAGUUCGGAUCGUAGUCUGCAACUCGACUACGUGAAGUCGGAGUCGCUAGUAAUCGCAGAUCAGCAACGCUGCGGUGAAUACGUUCCCGGGCCUUGUACACACCGCCCGUCAAGUCACGAAAGUCGGUAACACCCGAAGCCGGUGGCCUAACCCUUUGUGGGGGGAGCCGUCGAAAGUGGGACUGGUGAUUGGGACGAAGUCGUAACAGGGUAGCCCGAUAUA
This 883-nucleotide ribosomal RNA is filed under the name Brevibacterium senegalense. RNAcentral describes it as "bacterial SSU rRNA". It matches the Rfam family "Bacterial small subunit ribosomal RNA", at positions 629 to 1508 of the family's 1533-position model. Lineage: Bacteria; Bacillati; Actinomycetota; Actinomycetes; Micrococcales; Brevibacteriaceae. The record is from RNAcentral.